GCUGGCGGCGUGCCUAAUACAUGCAAGUAGAACGCUGAAGAGAGGAGCUUGCUCUUCUUGGAUGAGUUGCGAACGGGUGAGUAACGCGUAGGUAACCUGCCUUGUAGCGGGGGAUAACUAUUGGAAACGAUAGCUAAUACCGCAUAACAAUGGAUGACACAUGUCAUUUAUUUGAAAGGGGCAAUUGCUCCACUACAAGAUGGACCUGCGUUGUAUUAGCUAGUAGGUGAGGUAAUGGCUCACCUAGGCGACGAUACAUAGCCGACCUGAGAGGGUGAUCGGCCACACUGGGACUGAGACACGGCCCAGACUCCUACGGGAGGCAGCAGUAGGGAAUCUUCGGCAAUGGGGGCAACCCUGACCGAGCAACGCCGCGUGAGUGAAGAAGGUUUUCGGAUCGUAAAGCUCUGUUGUAAGUCAAGAACGGGUGUGAGAGUGGAAAGUUCACACUGUGACGGUAGCUUACCAGAAAGGGACGGCUAACUACGUGCCAGCAGCCGCGGUAAUACGUAGGUCCCGAGCGUUGUCCGGAUUUAUUGGGCGUAAAGCGAGCGCAGGCGGUUUGAUAAGUCUGAAGUUAAAGGCUGUGGCUCAACCAUAGUUCGCUUUGGAAACUGUCAAACUUGAGUGCAGAAGGGGAGAGUGGAAUUCCAUGUGUAGCGGUGAAAUGCGUAGGUAUAUGGAGGAACACCGGUGGCGAAAGCGGCUCUCUGGUCUGUAACUGACGCUGAGGCUCGAAAGCGUGGGGAGCGAACAGGAUUAGAUACCCUGGUAGUCC
Molecule: ribosomal RNA, 778 nt
Filed under: uncultured bacterium
Lineage: Bacteria
Description: bacterial SSU rRNA
Rfam family: Bacterial small subunit ribosomal RNA
Source: RNAcentral